Elaeis guineensis (African oil palm) is the source of this 2646-nucleotide RNA transcript. It is a transcript of the gene named cyclin-dependent kinase C-2, with no coding region annotated. The record is from RefSeq and is a predicted model, not a curated record. Lineage: Eukaryota; Viridiplantae; Streptophyta; Magnoliopsida; Arecales; Arecaceae.
GGCACGCACACGGAUAAAAUGCUAACCCACCCCACCGAUUCCCAGCUCGUUCCGCCAGCGAGUCGUCUUCCUCUCCUCCUCGAAGGGGACGCCAAGGUUCUCCCGCCGCCGCGCCCUCGAUCGGAGGGUUUUUCGCUUUCAAACCUUUCGAGGAAUUGCAGUAGAGGUGGAGGAUGACUGUUGCUGCUCCCGGGCAGCUGAAUCUCGAGGAGCCCCCGUCGUGGGGGUCUCGGAGCGUCGACUGCUUCGAGAAAUUGGAGCAGAUUGGUGAAGGCACAUACGGGCAAGUCUAUAUGGCCAGAGAAAUAAAAACAGGGGAAAUAGUGGCCCUGAAGAAAAUUAGAAUGGACAAUGAAAGAGAAGGAUUUCCUAUAACAGCGAUACGCGAAAUCAAAAUUCUGAAGAAGCUGCAUCAUGAAAAUGUUAUUCAAUUGAAAGAGAUUGUGACCUCUCCAGGUCCUGAAAAGGAUGAGCAAGGAAAGCCAGAUGGUAACAAGUAUAAAGGAAACAUCUACAUGGUUUUUGAGUACAUGGAUCAUGAUUUGACUGGCCUAGCAGAUCGUCCUGGGAUGAGAUUCACCGUACCCCAAAUUAAGUGCUACAUGAGGCAGCUGCUAACAGGUCUUCAUUAUUGUCAUGUAAAUCAAGUGCUCCAUCGUGACAUUAAAGGUUCUAAUCUUCUAAUUGAUAAUGAGGGAAAUCUAAAACUUGCUGAUUUUGGCCUUGCACGAUCAUUCUCCAGUGAUCACAAUGGAAACCUAACAAAUCGUGUGAUCACAUUGUGGUACAGGCCUCCAGAGUUGCUGCUUGGAACUACAAAGUAUGGUCCAGCUGUUGACAUGUGGUCUGUUGGUUGCAUCUUUGCAGAACUUCUGCAUGGGAAACCAAUCUUGCCAGGAAAGAAUGAGCCAGAGCAACUAACUAAGAUAUUUGAACUCUGUGGAACUCCGGAUGAGGUCAACUGGCCUGGUGUUUCUAAAAUUCCCUGGUAUAACAAUUUUAAGCCUUCCCGGCCGAUGAAGAGACGGCUCAGGGAGGUUUUCAAGCAUUUUGACCGUCAUGCUUUGGACUUGCUAGAGAGAAUGUUAACAUUGGAUCCAUCCCAGAGGAUUUCUGCAAAAGAUGCACUGGAUGCGGAGUACUUUUGGAAUGAUCCUCUACCUUGUGAUCCUAAAAGCUUACCGAAGUAUGAGUCCUCACAUGAGUUCCAGACAAAGAAGAAGCGUCAACAGCAACGACAGCAGCAAGAGGAAGCAGCAAAGCGACAGAAAAUACAGCAUCCACCACCACAUGCCCGUCUACCACCCAUUCAGCAAACUGGGCAACCACACCCUCAGAUCAGACCUGGUCCCAGCCAGCCUAUGCACAAUGCACCACCUCCCAUGGCUGCUGGCCCAAGCCAUCACUAUGGCAAGCCACGGGGCCCUUCUGGAGGGCCAAGCAGAUACCCACAAGGUGGAAAUCCAAGUGGUGGAUAUAACCCAAAUCGUGGUGGUCAAGGUGGUGGUUAUGGCAGCGGUCCGUAUCCCCAGCAAGGACGUGGACCUCCUUAUGGUGGGAGUGGUAUGCCUGGUGCCGGUGGUCCUAGAGGUGGUGGCGGCAGUGGGUAUGGAGUAGGUGCCCCAAAUUACCCCCAAGGGGGUCCGUAUGGUGCUUCAGGUGCAGGACGAGGCCCCAAUAUGAUGGGUGGGAAUCGCAAUCAGCAGCACCAGCAGCAGUAUGGUGGCUGGCAGUAGUAGAAUUACGUACCAUUUCAUGUUUAGAUUUUCGGGUUUGUCUUCUAACGAAGAAGGAUUUUUGGCUUUGUUGAGUCAUUUACUUGGAAGUAACCUGUUGUCAUGGGUAGGUUAUGUCGGUGUGGAAGCUGCAUUAUAUCUGAUGAGCUUGCAAUUUGGAAUUUAGGAGUUCAGCAUUUGCCGACUGCUCUAUUAGGUUGUUUUAAACUGGAGUUGGGUAUAUGGAAGUGUUGUUGGGCGCCAGUUUGAGAAAUUCUUUCAUCAUUAUUAUGGUUCUUUUCUAGUGUUUUGUUUAAGGGCUAGGGAGUUGUGCAGGUGGGCUUCAAAUGAAGGUGGGUGAUUGCUUUUGGAAAUGCUGUUUCAGUGCGACCAGGUUUGUUUUGAAAAAAAGAGAAUUUUUUGUUUUAUUCACUCAUUCGUCAAAGAAAUUUCAAGUGACAGAGGUUUAGCUGUGGGUGGUGAGACCAGCCCACCUUGGGCUGGAAUGCAAGCCUCACUGAGGUGUGUUACGAGAUGGAAAUUUCAGAAGGCAAAAUAGAAGAGCUAAGAACUUUGGUCAGUCUUCAUUUGCAUCACAAACAAAAUCCGAGUGUAGGAACAUCAGCAAUGAAAUCCAACAGUAUGAGAAACACAUUUACCUGAGUUAUGCCAGCAAUAUUGUCAUUGCAGAAAACAAGUCACGGCCGCUGGUGCAACUCAGGCAGGGUCUGGUUGGGUUAAAGACCAACAAAACCCCAAUCUAAAAUACGUCACCUAACGGUAAACUCAAUUAUUAUGUAAAACCUGAACAUAACUUGAGUUGGGCUUGGGUGAUUCAGGAAAGGUUCAAACUUAGCUGGGAGAUUAAUUGUAAAAUGUAAGUUUACCUUUGCUCGAGCUGGAGGCCAGAAAAGUUGAUUGUGUUGUCCAA